CAGUCGCCACGGGAAUACGUAGGGUGCGAGCGUUAAUCGGAAUUACUGGGCGUAAAGCGGGCGCAGACGGUUACUUAAGCAGGAUGUGAAAUCCCCGGGCCCAACCUGGGAACUGCGUUCUGAACUGGGUGACUAGAGUGUGUCAGAGGGAGGUAGAAUUCCACGUGUAGCAGUGAAAUGCGUAGAGAUGUGGAGGAAUACCGAUGGCGAAGGCAGCCUCCUGGGAUAACACUGACGUUCAUGCCCGAAAGCGUGGGUAGCAAACAGGAUUAGAUACCCCGGUAGUCCAUGUCUCUUAUAC
Molecule: ribosomal RNA, 301 nt
Filed under: uncultured bacterium
Lineage: Bacteria
Description: partial 16S ribosomal RNA
Rfam family: Bacterial small subunit ribosomal RNA
Source: RNAcentral